GUCACGACAAAGUGACACUGUCACACACAGCACUGCACACUGUUGGCACGGUAAUACCCCCGCUUUGGGUGUCUCACCAAUGUCUGGUGCCACGUUACCCUUAUCCACAGUGUCAUUGUCCCACCUAUCUUAUCACACGGUGGUGACGUAUAAUGUGCGUCCUGCAUACAUCCGCUUAUGAAGGGUGGCCACACACAUAUCUGCACUUUCUACUUCUUCAAAUGUGACUUGAACCACACCUUCAGGAUGCAGCUAAGGAAGAGAUGAUUGCUGGUGAGAUUAAAGAUUACCAUGUAUAUACAAGCACUUUUAAUUUUCCCUUGUAUUACUAAAUAUCAAUGGAUAUGAAUUAAAAAAAAUGGUAUUUAUUCCCUAAAUUUGCAGUAUUUUUGGCAUCUUUGAGCAAUUGUGUAUUAUUCAUUUAUGUAUUAUUUUUAUUUAUGUGUCAUUGCGUAUCAUAUAUUUAUGCACAAUGUAGAGGUGAAUUGUGAUUUUAGUACAUUGGAUUUACAAUACUUUAAAUUAAGAAUUACAUUAUUUUGUCAUUUUUCUGAUUUAUAUAUGUAAUCUUUUUGUUAGUGUUAUUAUUUUGUCAUGAAUGAAGGCUGAUGAAGGGGAAAAGAGUGGAGAAGAAAUGCUUACUAAAAUGCUACUUCCAAAAAUUAGUGCAACAUGAGAAAAAAAAAAAAAGUUAGCUGAUUAAUUAAGUUCUGAAGAUGUUCAGAUGAUAUUUCUCUAUUGAGAUAUUUCAAAUCACAGGAAGGAGGAAAAAGGAAAAAGGAAAAAGUAAACUCUGGAACUCCCUGCCUGCUUCUGUAUUUCCACCUUCCUAUGACUUGAAUUCCUUCAAGAGGGAGGUUUCAAGACACUUAUUCAUCAAUUUUUGACUACUGCUUUGACCCUUUUAUGGGACUGGCAUUUCAGUGGGCAUUUUUUUUAUUGGAUUUUUGUUGCCCUUGGCCAGUGUCCUUCCUGCAUAAUAAAAAAAAAAGUUCCAGAGUUUGUCAGCUUGAGGGAUGACAGAGUGAAGAUAGGUGGAGAGCAUACAAAUGAGAAUAAAAUAGAAAUUCCAGUUCCAUACUGUAAACAUCUUGCUGAUUUUGUGCCAUAAUGUCUGAAGCAGGUUAUUCAGGUCAAGGGCUUCCCAGUCAACAACUGGGAUAACUGGAUAACUGGGAUUUACUCUUACAAAUUUAUUAUAAUUCCACCUUUGUGUUGUUAUUUAAGAUUAUCAAUAAAUAAAAAGAGAAAGUUAGCUUCUUUAACAGCAUUUACAGUAUAGUUACUGAAUAUGGAUGGCACAAGGGUUGAAAUUAAAUGUUUCUUUUAUGUAACUGUUGUUCUUCAUUUUGAAGUGCACUAAUGAUAACUUCAUAAAAGCUACUUUAGCAAGAGGUAAGAUGUGAAACUUCUAGUUGAGAUUUUUAAAAAGGGUUAGCCCAAGUAAAUUCAAUAUAAAGAAAGGAAAUAGUUGAGUGCUACUGAAGCACUAACCUAACCUAGGCAGUACUUAUAGAGAAAAAGGAAAGAAGCUUAUUUAAUAAAAUGGUGUGAAAAGAGACCAAUACUGUCUUCACUUCACAGGAUAUUUUAACAUUAAAUCUUCUAACUGUGAGCCAAUUAUGUUUACCACUUGACUGCUAAGUUGCAUGGAAAAAUAUACUUGAUUUAUGUCUUUAUAUUCAUAUAAUUUGGAUGAAUGAAAAAUACUCCAUGAUAGCCAGAAAGAUGACAGUAAAAGUAAAUCUAUUCAACACCAGCUUAUACAUAUUAUUAAUAAAUAAACACUGCAGAAAAACAUUGAUCUUACAUCAAACAGUUCCAACUUCUUUAUUUUGCCAAAGUUUGAAGCCUGGCUCCUCAUGGCUUCUUUGUGAUCUAGGAUUUUGUCCAUGGCAACUUCAAACUCCUUUGGAUCAAACACAUUGCGGAUCACAACUGUGUUCUCCCAUUUCUUCCUCUGUCCCCUCAUAGGCUCUGGUCGCCAAUCAAAUAACCUGCAAAAAUAAGUACAGAACAGUUAUACCUGGAAGACUUUGCAUGAAAUCUACUAUAGCAGGGGACUGUUUCAGUGAAUGCUUCUUGGGAAGGUGAGCAGUUUCAGCAGAAUUGAAAAUUUGGAUAACUGGGAUUUACUCUUACAAAUUUAUUAUAAUUCCACCUUUGUGUUGUUAUUUAAGAUUAUCAAUAAAUAAAAAGAGAAGUUAGCUUCUUUAACAGCAUUUACAGUAUAGUUACUGAAUUUAAUAAUAAUGUCAUGUCACUGUAUCAUGAUGGAGCAAAAAACUAAAAACAGUGGAACCUCGGUUCAUGAACUUAAUCCAUUCCAUGACUCGGUUUGUGAACCAAGAUCUUUGCCUAACAAAACAAUUUUUCUUACUGAAAUGAAUGUAAAUACAGUUAAUUUGUUCCAGCCUCAGAAACAUUGCAUUUUUUUCCCAUUUUUAAAAGUGUUAUUUUUCUGUUAAAGAACAAACCAAUGUGACUAGCCUAUUCACAAAUUAUUGCCUCAGUAGCACUAUCUCCAGCCAGCUGCUUUUCAUUCAUCCACACUAACAACAGUUUUUUUUUUUUUUUUCACUCUUUCUAUCACAUUAGGCCUGUGCUUUAGCCCUGGAGCUCAUUUCCUGGCAUGUUAUUUCAGUGACCUAUUUUCAAAGAAUCCAUACCUGUACUAUGUACCUUUAUAAAUCUGUUCAAUAUGCAUAUAUGUAUCUAAAUAUGUCCACACAUGUAUAUAUAUGAGUAUAUCUGUAUAUAGUACUUCAGUGUAUAUUUAUGUAAAUGUUUGUGGAAACUAUAAAUUUCUGAAAAGA
Molecule: long non-coding RNA, 2816 nt
Organism: Scylla paramamosain (green mud crab)
Lineage: Eukaryota; Metazoa; Arthropoda; Malacostraca; Decapoda; Portunidae
Exons: 2
Source: RefSeq, a predicted model, not a curated record